GACGAACGCUGGCGGCGUGCUUAACACAUGCAAGUCGAACGGAAAGGCCCUGCUGUUGUGGGGUGCUCGAGUGGCGAACGGGUGAGUAACACGUGAGUAACCUGCCCUUGACUUUGGGAUAACUUCAGGAAACUGGGGCUAAUACCGGAUAGGAGCUCCUGCUGCAUGGUGGGGGUUGGAAAGUUUCGGCGGUUGGGGAUGGACUCGCGGCUUAUCAGCUUGUUGGUGGGGUAGUGGCUUACCAAGGCUUUGACGGGUAGCCGGCCUGAGAGGGUGACCGGCCACAUUGGGACUGAGCUCCGGCCCAGACUCCUACGGGAGGCAGCAGUGGGGAAUAUUGCCCAAUGGGCGGAAGCCUGAUGCAGCAACGCCGCGUGCGGGAUGACGGCCUUCGGGUUGUAACCCGCUUUCGCCUGUGACGAAGCGUGAGUGACGGUAAUGGGUAAAGAAGCACCGGCUAACUACGUG
RNAcentral lists this ribosomal RNA (468 nucleotides) under uncultured bacterium. RNAcentral describes it as "partial 16S ribosomal RNA". It matches the Rfam family "Bacterial small subunit ribosomal RNA", at positions 28 to 507 of the family's 1533-position model. The record is from RNAcentral.